UAAACCAAUUCAGCAACGGAGCAACG
Molecule: small RNA, 26 nt
Filed under: Bombyx mori (domestic silkworm)
Lineage: Eukaryota; Metazoa; Arthropoda; Insecta; Lepidoptera; Bombycidae
Description: ovarian small RNA-18140
Source: RNAcentral